Molecule: ribosomal RNA, 356 nt
Filed under: uncultured bacterium
Lineage: Bacteria
Description: bacterial SSU rRNA
Rfam family: Bacterial small subunit ribosomal RNA
Source: RNAcentral
AGUAAAUAGAUACCCAGGUAGUCCUAGCAGUAAACGGUGCACAUUUGGUGUGGGAGGAUUCGACCCCUCCGCGCCGGAGCUAAACGCGUUAAAUAGUGCCGCCUGGGAAGUACGGUCGCAAGAUUAAAACUACAAAGAAAUUGACGGGGACCCGGCACAAGCGGUGGAGUAUGUGGCUUAAUUCGAUGCAACGCGAAGAACCUUACCUGGUCUUGACAUGCACUGUGUCUCUCGUGAAAGCGAGAUAGGGUAGCAAUACCCGCUUUGCACAGGUGCUGCAUGGCUGUCGUCAGCUCGUGUCGUGAGAUGUUGGGUUUAAGUCCCGCAACGAGCGCAACCCCUGUGAUUUGUUGCCA